GGCUGCAGACCUGCCGGGGCGCAGAGAUGGAGAUGCCCAGAUGGCAGGGAGAGAUCCUAAACCCUCAGCCUUGCCCUGGCCCACCGCGGAAUGGCCCGGAGAGAUGGGGGGUUGGGGAAGAACAACAGGAUGGGGAAGGGAGGGCCAAUCAGGCUCAUCUGAAUGUAGGUCAGCCACACCCCACAUAUUGAAUACCAAGAAUCCAUCCCCUGAGAAAGGGCACCCAGGCCGGCCCUACCCCCAGCCUCGCGUCUGGUCCAAGGAGGUCCCAGGGCAGGAAUUAGAAGAGCAUGUCACUAUAUUUCCAGUUGGGGAGGGGUGCUGAGUCUGAGUGAGGAGGUGGUUUCAGUGCCAGGAGGAAUAGAAACUGGCCUGCGGACUGAAUGGGCCUUGAACCCCUGUGACCACUCCCUUCAAGAAUGUGCCCCAACCUUACGGACAAGUGACUCAAAGGAGCCUGAGGGGGAUGGGAGCAAGGAUUUGGCGCCCUUCCUGUAAAACCUGGCUGACACACAAACCUAGCUGGGGUGAGGCUCCAGGUG
Molecule: long non-coding RNA, 542 nt
Filed under: Homo sapiens (human)
Lineage: Eukaryota; Metazoa; Chordata; Mammalia; Primates; Hominidae
Description: HSALNT0329833
Source: RNAcentral